GUCCGUUGCGCUGAGAGAAGAGUAAAGGGCGGGGCUGUGCGCGGCCGGCAGUCUAUCUGCAUAUUCAUGAGGGGGCGAGGACCUCGUCGGCUUGGGGCCGUUCCUCCCUGAACCUCUAGUUUAGCAGAAGACUGCUUAUUAAUAUUUAAUGUUAUUCUUUAUGUAUCCGGCCUUCAGCCCGCCCUCCAGUCUUGGCUGUUUCUAGCACUGAGACCGGAGAGGCUGCGAACUGAAUUUAUUUGGAAAGUCUGAGCUAUAUGGAGCUUUAUAAAGACCACAACAUCUUGUCGUGAUUGAAAUGAGGCCUACCAUGACCAAAAGUCUUGAGUCUUCCUCAUGUAUUCCUGGAGGCCAGAAGAAGGCACCAGAUGAUUUAACUUCAUCAUCAUCUCCCAUCGUCCUGCCGUUUUCUGGCCAAAAAUGGUUCCUUUCCAACCUGUUCCUGGCUCUUCAUUCCCUGGUCCCACUCCAUGGUUUAUUUCUCAUCAUAUCUUACCUGACAGCAGUGACUUCCGCAAACUGGCCUCCCACCAUACAGCCCUACUUCCUCCAGCCUUGUUCCAUGGCUCUUAAAAUUCAUUCCUAAACAUACCCUCCCGUUUAAACCAAGGAGAG
This 615-nucleotide long non-coding RNA is filed under the name Cricetulus griseus (Chinese hamster). RNAcentral describes it as "lncRNA (ENSCGRG00015034590.1)". The record is from RNAcentral. Lineage: Eukaryota; Metazoa; Chordata; Mammalia; Rodentia; Cricetidae.